RNAcentral lists this ribosomal RNA (339 nucleotides) under uncultured bacterium. RNAcentral's name for it is "bacterial SSU rRNA". It matches the Rfam family "Bacterial small subunit ribosomal RNA", at positions 71 to 422 of the family's 1533-position model. The record is from RNAcentral.
AAGUGGUAGCAAUACCAUGAGUAAAGUGGCGCACGGGUGAGUAACACGUGACUAACCUACCCUGGAGUGGGGGAUAACUGAGGGAAACCUUAGCUAAUACCGCAUAAUACCCACGGGUCAAAGGAGCAAUUCGCUCUGGGAGGGGGUCGCGGCCGAUUAGUUAGUUGGCGGGGUAACGGCCCACCAAGACGAUGAUCGGUAUCCGGCCUGAGAGGGCGCACGGACACACUGGAACUGAAACACGGUCCAGACUCCUACGGGAGGCAGCAGUGGGGAAUCUUGCGCAAUGGACGAAAGUCUGACGCAGCAACGCCGCGUGAGGGACGAAGGCUUUCUGAG